CCCCAGCCUCAGAUCUGUCCUCCCAUCUUUGCAAACGUGGGUUAUUGAAUUAUCGUCUCUCGCUUUACUUGCUAGCAACUGGGGACAACUCCUAGCACAGUAGGGCCCUUUUGCUCUGGCAGGUCGCCCCUGACGUUUUGGGUUCGGUUGCCUUUAGCUCUGGAGUGCAUGGGGCUUCCUAGGGUCAGCGGCAGAUGCCCUUGCCUCCUCCACCUGCAGAGGUGGCCCUGCCCUUGGCCCUCUGGUCCUCAGAGGGAACGGAAAGCAGCUGUGAUCUUGGUUUCUUUUUGCACGCCAUCAGCAGGGAGUUGGAUUGGAAGUGAAGCAGUCAAGAAUGCAAACCAGUGCCCAUAUAGGAUUCUGGCAACGCCAGUGGCAGCUUUACCAUCUCUGCCACAAUGUCAGCCCCGAAAAUAAAGUUUCUAACAGUCACUAUGAA
Long non-coding RNA from Ochotona princeps (American pika), 439 nucleotides. RefSeq lists it as uncharacterized. NCBI's taxonomy places the organism in Eukaryota, Metazoa, Chordata, Mammalia, Lagomorpha, Ochotonidae. The record is from RefSeq and is a predicted model, not a curated record. The transcript has 2 exons.